AUUGAACGCUGGCGGAAUGCUUUACACAUGCAAGUCGAACGGCAGCACGGACUUCGGUCUGGUGGCGAGUGGCGAACGGGUGAGUAAUGUAUCGGAACGUGCCCAGUCGUGGGGGAUAACGUAGUGAAAAUUACGCUAAUACCGCAUACGAUCUAUGGAUGAAAGCGGGGGAUCGCAAGACCUCGCGCGAUUGGAGCGGCCGAUAUCAGAUUAGGUAGUUGGUGGGGUAAAGGCCCACCAAGCCAACGAUCUGUAGCUGGUCUGAGAGGACGACCAGCCACACUGGAACUGAGACAAGGUCCAGACUCCUACGGGAGGCAGCAGUGGGGAAUUUUGGACAAUGGGCGAAAGCCUGAUCCAGCCAUUCCGCGUGCAGGAUGAAGGCCCUCGGGUUGUAAACUGCUUUUGUACAGAACGAAAAGGUUUCUACUAAUACUAGGAGCUCAUGACGGUACUGUAAGAAUAAGCACCGGCUAACUAUGUGCCAGCCGCCGCGGUAA
RNAcentral lists this ribosomal RNA (500 nucleotides) under uncultured bacterium. RNAcentral describes it as "partial 16S ribosomal RNA". It matches the Rfam family "Bacterial small subunit ribosomal RNA", at positions 30 to 523 of the family's 1533-position model. The record is from RNAcentral.